UAAUAAGUGUUUUAUGGCACUUUUUAAAUUCAUAUCCACCUUGUGUGCAAUGUCAGUCGAUCUUCUUCAUGGAGAUCGACCAAACAUCAACCUUUAUCUUUUAACUCUUUGUCUGAAAAAUAUUAUGAAUAAACAAUUCAAAAUA
RNAcentral lists this unclassified non-coding RNA (145 nucleotides) under soil metagenome. RNAcentral's name for it is "partial internal transcribed spacer 1". The record is from RNAcentral.